CCUACGGGAGGCAGCAGUCGGGAAUCUUGCGCAAUGGGCGAAAGCCUGACGCAGCAACACCGUGUGGGCGACGAAGGCCUUCGGGUCGUAAAGCCCUGUUGUUGGGGACGAAGGGCGAAGGGUUAAUAGCCCCUAGCCUGACGGUACCCUUCGAGGAAGCCCCGGCUAACUACGUGCCAGCAGCCGCGGUAAUACGUAGGGGGCGAGCGUUGUCCGGAAUUAUUGGGCGUAAAGAGCGUGUAGGCGGUUCGGUAAGUCUGCCGUGAAAACCUGGGGCUCAACCCCGGGCGUGCGGUGGAUACUGCCGGGCUAGAGGGUGGUAGAGGCGAGUGGAAUUCCCGGUGUAGCGGUGAAAUGCGCAGAUAUCGGGAGGAACACCAGUAGCGAAGGCGGCUCGCUGGGCCAUUCCUGACGCUGAGACGCGAAAGCUAGGGGAGCGAACAGGAUUAGAUACCCUGGUAGUCCUAGCCGUAAACGAUGAACACUAGGUGUGGGGGGGGAGUCGAAUCCCCCUGUGCCGAAGCCAACGCGUUAUGUGUUCCGCCUGGGGAGUACGGCCGCAAGGCUAAAACUCAAAAGAAUUGACGGGGGCCCGCACAAGCAGCGGAGCAUGUUCUUUAAUUCGAUGCAACGCGAAGAACCUUACCUGGGCUUGACAUGGUGCUGCAAGCGCACGGAAACGUGUGACCUUCGAGGGUGCACCACAGAUGCUGCAUGGCUGUCGUCAGCUCGUGUCGUGAGAUGUUGGGUUAAGUCCCGCAACGAGCGCAACCCCCGUGGCGUGUUGCCAGCAUUAAGUUGGGGACUCACGCCAGACUGCCGGUGACAAACCGGAGGAAGGUGGGGAUGACGUCAAGUCAUCAUGGCUCUUACGUCCAGGGCUAGAAACGUGCUACAAUGGCGUACACAAAGGGCAGCAAGACCGCAAGGUGAGCGAAUCUCAUCAAAGUACGUCUAAGUUCGGAUCGGGUCUGCUACUCGACCCGUGAAGGCGGAGUUGCUAGUAAUCUCGGAUCCGCUGUCGCGGUGAAUACUUUCCCGCAAGGG
This 1047-nucleotide ribosomal RNA is filed under the name uncultured bacterium. RNAcentral's name for it is "bacterial SSU rRNA". It matches the Rfam family "Bacterial small subunit ribosomal RNA", at positions 338 to 1378 of the family's 1533-position model. The record is from RNAcentral.